GCGGCGCACACUCAGCCAAACUCGCGGUCUGCGGUAGGUCGUGUCACGCGGUGGCGCAACGAUCGCAGCCGUUCCCGCCACAUAUACGAACACAUUUUCUUUGAAAUUUCGUGCAAUUGCAAAGAAAAAAGUGAACAAAGCGGGACCUUACGGUGUCUUCACAGUGCCUUGUGAUUGUUGUUUACAUAUGAAUAGACUAUUUUUUAUCGAUAUUUUUACAAAUUUCGGUAGUAAUAGAGGUACGAGACGUGGUCGCACUAGUGGAACGAAGAACAGACGUUUCAAGUAGUGAGGAUUACGUGAACUUCGCCCUGGACCAGUCUAACAGAUAACAUAUCAACGUGGUGCUCGCAGAUAUCGACGACUGUACACUUCAACAAGUUACCAAAUAGGCUAAGAGUACUACAUAAGAGUAAUGACAAUUAGUCAGUCCUUUAGAUAAUUUUUACAAAACUAUAUUAUAAGGAAAUAUCAAAUGAGCAUAUCUAGUAGAAGUAUAAAGAUAUCAUCGAAGACCAUGGCGUGCGUGAGCUUGAGGAGCAGCCUGAGGAUACUGUGGACGGCGGUGGCGGCGCUCGUGUUCCUCACCAGGAGCAGCGCCGCGCCGACCUUCGGGGGAGCAGAUAAGGCGAUGCCUGAACAUGACGCCUACUUCCAGAUGUACUUAGCGCAGUACGGGUACCUGAGUCCUUCCGUGAGGAAUCCGUCGAGUGGCCACAUCAUGGACGAAAGUUCGUGGCGUCGAGCAAUCGCGGAGUUCCAGAGCUUUGCCGGGUUAAACGCGACAGGUGAAUUAGAUGAAGAGACAACAAAAGUAAUGUCAUUGCCAAGGUGUGGCGUGCGAGACAAAGUGGGCUUCGGAGAGAGCCGAGCCAAGCGAUACGCGCUGCAGGGUUCAAGGUGGCGUGUGAAGAACCUCACCUACAAGAUCUCCAAGUACCCAUCUAAGCUGAACCGUGCUGAAGUCGACAAUGAACUUGCCAAAGCCUUCGCCGUGUGGUCCGACUACACGGACCUUACCUUCACACAGAAGCGAAGCGGACAAGUCCACAUCGAAAUCAGGUUCGAGAAGGGAGAGCACGGAGACGGUGAUCCUUUCGACGGUCCUGGUGGCACUCUUGCCCACGCUUACUUCCCCGUGUACGGCGGCGAUGCUCACUUCGAUGACGCUGAGAUGUGGUCCAUUAACUCGAGGAGGGGCACCAAUCUCUUCCAGGUCGCUGCGCACGAGUUCGGUCAUUCCCUAGGGUUGUCCCACAGUGAUGUUCGGUCAGCACUCAUGGCUCCAUUCUACAGAGGUUACGACCCUGCCUUCCAACUUGAUCAGGAUGACAUUCUAGGAAUUCAGGCUCUCUACGGACACAAGACACAGACUGACAUCGGUGGGCCCCUGCCGGCAGUACCGUCUGUCCCCCGCGCCACUACACAGCAACCAGCUGCCGAGGACCCUGCUCUCUGUGGCGACCCUAAGUUCGACACCAUCUUCAACUCUGCAGACGGUGGCACUUUCAUAUUCAAAGGCGAACAUUAUUGGCGUCUCACCGAGGACGGUGUAGCAUCGGGAUACCCUCGUCUGAUAUCCCGUGCAUGGCCUGGUCUGCCCGGCAACAUUGAUGCUGCCUUUACAUACAAAAACGGCAAGACUUACUUCUUCAAGGGAUCCAAGUACUGGAGGUAUAACGGACAGAAGGUGGACGGAGAGUACCCGAAAGAUAUUAGCGAAGGUUUCACCGGCAUCCCAGACAAUCUAGACGCUGCCCUCGUCUGGUCUGGCAAUGGCAAGAUUUACUUCUACAAGGGAUCCAAGUUCUGGCGCUUUGACCCCUCUCAAAGGCCGCCUGUCAAGGCCACAUAUCCUAAACCUCUCUCCAACUGGGAGGGUAUACCUGACGGUAUUGAUGCUGCCCUGCAGUACACCAAUGGAUACACGUACUUCUUCAAGGGUGGUUCAUACUGGCGGUUUAAUGACAGAACUUUCAGUGUCGACUCAGACAACCCAGCGUUCCCGCGGUCGACGGCGUUCUGGUGGCUCGGCUGCAGCAGCGCGCCGAAAGGCACCGUCGGAGGUAACGCGCGGCUCUCUGACAGCACCGACCACGAGGCCGAUGAUGACGUCGGAGAUAUACUGUUCGACGCAGGUGUAAAAUCAUCCGCUCCCAGAUCAUUCUUCUGGUUCAGGAAAUAGCCUCGACGGAGUGUUCCUGAAUAUUGUACAUAAAGAAUUUACAUAAAGAACAAAGACUCAAUUAGUUACAUAAAUAUAAGAAUACCAGUGAGAUUAUAGAACAUAAGCGGUGAUUUUAGUACCGGCGAGCUUGUCGCGUGCUGACAUGGGUCAGAUUCGGGCGACAACAGCGGGCGCAGCAGCGCGAGUACUCGCGGCCUCAUGACGCCGCUGUCGCUGACUGCACUAGCGACGCUGGUGGCGCUAGCGACCAGCGCGCUGCAGCCACGCGCCUAGCGCCCGCCGCGCAUCUAGCGCCCCCCGCGCCUAGCGCCCGCACUCGGCGCCCGCCAGCGCCCGGCGCGCGACCGCGACACUGACUGUGAUGGUGUACUGUGUGCCUGGACGCGUUCGGUGUAUUGUGUAUAGCGAAUACGCUACUGUGAUGACGAUUGCGCCUUUUUUAUACUGCGAGAACGAUAAUUUAAAGCGAAGUCAUAGUUUUUAUACUUAAGAUAAAUAGAUGAUGUAAGCUCGUGUGUGAUAUUGACGUAAGCGACGAUUUUUAUAUUAAAAUAUUUAAAGUGACCACA
RNA transcript from Spodoptera frugiperda (fall armyworm), 2757 nucleotides. It is a transcript of the gene named matrix metalloproteinase-14, with no coding region annotated. Lineage: Eukaryota; Metazoa; Arthropoda; Insecta; Lepidoptera; Noctuidae. The record is from RefSeq and is a predicted model, not a curated record. The transcript is spliced from 14 exons.